This 474-nucleotide ribosomal RNA is filed under the name uncultured organism. Its description in RNAcentral is "partial 16S ribosomal RNA". It matches the Rfam family "Bacterial small subunit ribosomal RNA", at positions 332 to 797 of the family's 1533-position model. The record is from RNAcentral.
UACACUCCUGCGGGAGGCAGCAGUGGGGAAUUUUGGACAAUGGGCGAAAGCCUGAUCCAGCAAUGCCGCGUGAGUGAAGAAGGCCUUCGGGUUGUAAAGCUCUUUUGUCAGGGAAGAAACGGUGAGAGCUAAUAUCUCUUGCUAAUGACGGUACCUGAAGAAUAAGCACCGGCUAACUACGUGCCAGCAGCCGCGGUAAUACGUAGGGUGCAAGCGUUAAUCGGAAUUACUGGGCGUAAAGCGUGCGCAGGCGGUUUUGUAAGUCUGAUGUGAAAUCCCCGGGCUCAACCUGGGAAUUGCAUUGGAGACUGCAAGGCUAGAAUCUGGCAGAGGGGGGUAGAAUUCCACGUGUAGCAGUGAAAUGCGUAGAUAUGUGGAGGAACACCGAUGGCGAAGGCAGCCCCCUGGGUCAAGAUUGACGCUCAUGCACGAAAGCGUGGGGAGCAAACAGGAUUAGAAACCCUUGUAGUCCCA